This 253-nucleotide ribosomal RNA is filed under the name uncultured bacterium. Its description in RNAcentral is "partial 16S ribosomal RNA". It matches the Rfam family "Bacterial small subunit ribosomal RNA", at positions 524 to 776 of the family's 1533-position model. The record is from RNAcentral.
UACGUAGGGUGCGAGCGUUGUCCGGAAUUACUGGGCGUAAAGAGCCCGUAGGUGGUUUGUCGCGUUGUCCGUGAAAACUCACAACUCAAUUGUGGGCGUGCGGGCGAUACGGGCAGACUGGAGUACUGCAGGGGAGACUGGAAUUCCUGGUGUAGCGGUGGAAUGCGCAGAUAUCAGGAGGAACACCGGUGGCGAAGGCGGCAUCCUGGACCGGUAUUGACGCUGAGGCGCGAAAGCUAGGGGAGCAAACGGG